GAGUUUGAACCUGGCUCAGGAUGAACGCUGGCGGCGUGCUUAACACAUGCAAGUCGAACGAGAACCAUUGGAUCGAGGAUUCGUCCAAGUGAAGGUGGGGAAAGUGGCGGACGGGUGAGUAACGCGUGAGCAAUCUGCCUUGGAGUGGGGAAUAACGGCUGGAAACAGCCGCUAAUACCGCAUGAUACAGCUGGGAGGCAUCUCCCUGGCUGUCAAAGAUUUAUCGCUCUGAGAUGAGCUCGCGUCUGAUUAGCUAGUUGGCGGGGUAACGGCCCACCAAGGCGACGAUCAGUAGCCGGACUGAGAGGUUGGCCGGCCACAUUGGGACUGAGACACGGCCCAGACUCCUACGGGAGGCAGCAGUGGGGAAUAUUGGGCAAUGGGCGCAAGCCUGACCCAGCAACGCCGCGUGAAGGAAGAAGGCUUUCGGGUUGUAAACUUCUUUUGUCAGGGACGUAGCAAGUGACGGUACCUGACGAAUAAG
Molecule: ribosomal RNA, 484 nt
Filed under: uncultured bacterium
Lineage: Bacteria
Description: bacterial SSU rRNA
Rfam family: Bacterial small subunit ribosomal RNA
Source: RNAcentral